This 468-nucleotide ribosomal RNA is filed under the name uncultured bacterium. Its description in RNAcentral is "partial 16S ribosomal RNA". It matches the Rfam family "Bacterial small subunit ribosomal RNA", at positions 28 to 507 of the family's 1533-position model. The record is from RNAcentral.
GACGAACGCUGGCGGCGUGCUUAACACAUGCAAGUCGAACGGAAAGGCCCUGCUUUUGUGGGGUGCUCGAGUGGCGAACGUGUGAGUAACACGUGAGUAACCUUCCCUUGACUUUGGGAUAACUUCAGGAAACUGGGGCUAAUACCUGAUAGGAGCUCCUGCUGCAUGGUGGGGGUUGGAAAGUUUCGGCGGUUGGGGAUGGACUCGCGGCUUAUCAGCUUGUUGGUGGGGUAGUGGCUUACCAAGGCUUUGACGGGUAGCCGGCCUGAGAGGGUGACCGGCCACAUUGGGACUGAGAUACGGCCCAGACUCCUACGGGAGGCAGCAGGGGGGAAUAUUGCACAAUGGGCGGAAGCCUGAUGCAGAAACGCCGCGUGCGGGAUGACGGCCUUCGGGUUGUAAACCGCUUUCGCCUGUGACGAAGCGUGAGUGACGGUAAUGGGUAAAGAAGCACCGGCUAACUACGUG